CUCCAAUAGCGUAUAUUAAAGUUGUUGCAGUUAAAAAGCUCGUAGUUGAAUUUCGGGAUCAAUUAAUUGGUCGUGCCUCUGGUACGUACUGAUUUUAUUGGUUUCUCCCUUCUGAAGAACCAUGAUGUCAUUAAUUUGGUGUCGUGGAGAAUCAGGACUGUUACUUUGAAAAAAUUAGAGUGUUUAAAGCAAGCUAACGCUUGAAUACAUUAGCAUGGAAUAAUGAAAUAGGACGUUUGAUCCUAUUUUGUUGGUUUCUAGGAUCGACGUAAUGAUUAAUAGGGAUAGUUGGGGGCAUUAGUAUUCAAUUGUCAGAGGUGAAAUUCUUGGAUUUAUUGAAGACUAACUACUGCGAAAGCAUUUGCCAAGGAUGUUUUCAUUAAUCAAGAACGAAAGUUAGGGGAUCGAAGACGAUCAGAUACCGUCGUAGUCUUAACCAUAAACUAUGCCGACUAGGGAUCGGAUGAUGUUAAUUUUUUAAUGACUCAUUC
This 491-nucleotide ribosomal RNA is filed under the name uncultured Glomus. RNAcentral's name for it is "SSU rRNA". It matches the Rfam family "Eukaryotic small subunit ribosomal RNA", at positions 589 to 1081 of the family's 1831-position model. Lineage: Eukaryota; Fungi; Glomeromycota; Glomeromycetes; Glomerales; Glomeraceae. The record is from RNAcentral.